UAUUAAAGUUCUUGUAGUUGAAUA
RNAcentral lists this transfer RNA (24 nucleotides) under Aplocheilichthys spilauchen. RNAcentral describes it as "partial tRNA-Glu". The record is from RNAcentral. Lineage: Eukaryota; Metazoa; Chordata; Actinopteri; Cyprinodontiformes; Procatopodidae.